AAGUAUCUGACACAGGAGGACUUCAAACCUGUACUUAGAGAACUUUUGGCAACUCAUCCAGGACUGGAGUUCUUACAAAGUACACCUGAAUUUCAAGAAAGAUAUGUUGCCCCUUCUAGGAUGUCUCUGAUAAUAUUGGAACUACACAGAGAAGAUAGCAUUGCACCUAUACCAGAAUUAUAUAUAUAAAUUGAGUAGUGAUCCAAUUUUUUAUGUUAC
Molecule: long non-coding RNA, 219 nt
Organism: Ipomoea nil (Japanese morning glory)
Lineage: Eukaryota; Viridiplantae; Streptophyta; Magnoliopsida; Solanales; Convolvulaceae
Exons: 3
Source: RefSeq, a predicted model, not a curated record